This is a long non-coding RNA of Chenopodium quinoa (quinoa), 553 nucleotides long. RefSeq lists it as uncharacterized. NCBI's taxonomy places the organism in Eukaryota, Viridiplantae, Streptophyta, Magnoliopsida, Caryophyllales, Amaranthaceae. The record is from RefSeq and is a predicted model, not a curated record. The transcript has 3 exons.
AAAAAAAAAAAAAAAACUCCAUUCUACCAAUAUUCUUCCAUUGUUAUUUUUGCUAACGGGGGAAAUCAAGAGCUGACGAAGAAGAUGACGACUGAAAAUGUUCUGCCGCAAACCCUAAUCUUAAUUCUCCUACAACCUCAAAAUUUUCAGAUAAAAUGAUUCAUGGAGUUGAGCCCCUGCCACCCAAACCUGCAAGAGCUGCAAUUAAGAUAAAAUUUGCUGAAUUGUAAGAUAUUGAAAUUCCUGAACAUACUCUGCAACUUGACAAUUCUGAGAGGUGGUGAGUAAGAUCAAUGGUGGCGGCUGAUUAUCACCUGUAUGCUGUAGCUUCUCUCUCCGUGCUUGGCCAUGUCUGGGCCCUGAACUUCCGAUGCCAGAUGGUGGUGCUGGGGCUGAAGAUGGUGAAACUUUGAACUUUUUUUUUAGACGCAGAAACUUUGAACUUUAGUUAUGACUGGUGAAGUUUGUUUUCAUUCCCCUGUUGAACCAAAUAUAAAACUUACAGAAUUUAAAGCUCAAUUCUCAUUAUUUCCCUUUCUUCUUUCUUGAUUAA